AGUCGAACGGCAGCACGGACUGGUCUGGUGGCGAGUGGCGAACGGGUGAGUAAUGUAUCGGAACGUGCCCUAGUAGCGGGGGAUAACUACGCGAAAGCGUAGCUAAUACCACGCGCCCGCCCUUCGAGAAAGCGGGGGGACCUUCGGGCCUCGCACUAUUGAAGCAGCCGAUAUCGGAUUAGCUAGUUGGUGGGGUAACGGCUCGCAAGGCGACGAUCCGUAGCUGGUUUGAGAGGACGACCAGCCACACUGGGACUGAGACACGGCCCAGACUCCUGCAGGAGGCAGCAGUGGGGAAUUUUGGACAAUGGGGAAACCCUGAUCCAGCCAUCCCGCGUACGAUGAAGGCCUUCGGGUUGUAAAGCACUUUUGGCAGGAAAGAAACGGCACGGGAUAAUACCCCGUGCAACUGACGGUACCUGCAGAAUAAGCACCGGCUAACUACGUGCCAGCAGCCGCGGUAAUACGUAGGGUGCAGGCGUUAAUCGGAAUUACUGGGCGUAAAGCGUGCGCAGGCGGUUCGGAAGAAAGAUGUGAGAUCCCAGAGCUUAACUUUGGAACUGCAUUUUUAACUACCGAGCUAGAGUGUGUCAGAGAGGUGGAAUUCGCGUGUAGCAGUGAAAUGCGUAGAUAUGCCGGAGGAACACCGAUGGCGAAGGCAACCUCCUGGGAUAACUGACGCUCAUGCGCGAAAGCGUGGGGAGCAAACAAGUUAAGAUACCCUGGUAAUCCACGCCCUAAACGAUGUCAACUAGCUGUUGGGGCCUUCGGGCCUUGGUAGCGCAACUAACGCGUGAAGUUGACCGCCUGGGAAGUACGGUCGCAAGAUUAAAACUCAAAGGUCGGCUGAGACCCGCACAAGCGGUGGAUGAUGUGGAUUAAUUCGAUGCAACGCGAAAAACCUUACCUACCCUUGACAUGUCUGGAAUCCCGAAGAGAUUUGGGAGUGCUCGCAAGAGAACCGGAACACAGGUGCUGCAUGGCUGUCGUCAGCUCGUGUCGUGAGAUGUUGGGUUAAGUCCCGCAACGAGCGCAACCCUUGUCAUUAGUUGCUACGAAGGGCACUCUAAUGAGACUGCCGGUGACAAACCGGAGGAAGGUGGGGAUGACGUCAAGUCCUCAUGGCCCUUAUGGGUAGGGCUUCACACGUCAUACAAUGGUCGGGACAGAGGGUCGCCAACCCGCGAGGGAGGCAAUCCCAGAAACCCGAUCGUAGUCCGGAUCGCAGUCUACCGCUCGACUGCGUGAAGUCGGAAUCGCUAGUAAUCGCGGAUCAGCAUGUCGCGGUGAAUACGUUCCCGGGUCUUGUACACACCGCCCGUCACACCAUGGGAGUGGGUUUUACCAGAAGUAGUUAGCCUAACCGUAAGGAGGGCGAUUACCACGGUAGGAUUCAUGACUGGGGUGAAGUCGUAACAAGGUA
This 1423-nucleotide ribosomal RNA is filed under the name uncultured Bordetella sp. RNAcentral's name for it is "partial 16S-23S ribosomal RNA intergenic spacer". It matches the Rfam family "Bacterial small subunit ribosomal RNA". The record is from RNAcentral. Lineage: Bacteria; Pseudomonadati; Pseudomonadota; Betaproteobacteria; Burkholderiales; Alcaligenaceae.